Molecule: ribosomal RNA, 482 nt
Filed under: uncultured bacterium
Lineage: Bacteria
Description: partial 16S ribosomal RNA
Rfam family: Bacterial small subunit ribosomal RNA
Source: RNAcentral
AUUGAACGCUGGCGGCAUGCCUUACACAUGCAUGUCGAACGGUAACGGGCCUUCGGGUGCCGACGAGUGGCGAACGGGUGAGUAAUACAUCGGAACGUGCCCGAUCGUGGGGGAUAACGAGGCGAAAGCUUUGCUAAUACCGCAUACGAUCUACGGAUGAAAGCAGGGGACCGCAAGGCCUUGCGCGGACGGAGCGGCCGAUGGCAGAUUAGGUAGUUGGUGGGAUAAAAGCUUACCAAGCCGACGAUCUGUAGCUGGUCUGAGAGGAUGAUCAGCCACACUGGGACUGAGACACGGCCCAGACUCCUACGGGAGGCAGCAGUGGGGAAUUUUGGACAAUGGGCGCAAGCCUGAUCCAGCCAUGCCGCGUGCAGGAUGAAGGCCUUCGGGUUGUAAACUGCUUUUGUACGGAACGAAAAGCCUUCUUUUAAUACAGGAGGGUCAUGACGGUACCGUAAGAAUAAGCACCGGCUAACUACGUG